UUGCUCAGGUUGCUCCCAGCUCCCUUCCUUCCCCCUCAGGCCCUCACCGAGGUACGAGGUGCGAGAAAGAAAGCGACUUUCCUCCGAGCAUGGCGGGCGGCUGCGCCGAAGACGACGUGGUGGAGGUGAGCUGCGGCGGGGGCGGCCGCGACCCCGGCGCCUACGCGGCGGUGCUCAAGAGGAGGCUCGACCUGUACUGCGCCGCCGUCGCCAAAUCCAUGGUACGGUUUCUACUCUGCUAAAGAUUGGCUCCCUUUGGUCUUCUGCUUGUGUGUUUGGCGUUUCAAUUUCAGCUGUAGUCUGAUUUGGAGUCAGUAUGGUAGAAUCUGCAAGUUCUAGCAUUUCAGUUAUUUCCCACCUCCGUUUCAGGGAUAGGAAUUUCAUUGUAAAUUCUAACUUUUGGGAAAUCUUACAAAGAAAAAUAAAAUCGGUUGCUUCAUUCGAGGACUUGAAAAAGAUCUUAGCUUGGUUGGUCGGCAUACUUGUCAACGCAAUCCUACACUGUCAGUGAUACGCCGGGGCCACAUUAGAAAUUCUCAGUAGCUUGUGGCACCUAGGAGUACUCGUAACAUAUGUUUUUUUUUUAAAAAAAAUCCUCUGCCUAUGAGAAACAGAGGAGGCACUGCGCACGCCCAUUUCUUAUGGCUUGUGGUGAACAAUCUGACCAAGAUCGGAGCACCGCCAUUGUCAUAGUAGAUUCGUAGUACUGUGCAAUGGCGAAAUGCAAACGUUGCCACUUCACAUGGAAACUGUAUCAGAUAUUAGUUUCCGAUCUGAUCUAAAGGUAAUAAAGGAGUCUUGUAGUGCUGACACUGACAUGUAGGAUAAUAGAUUUGGUCUAUGGGGAAUGUGCUAGGAGGGUGUCUGUCUUGGACACUCUACAUACACAGCGUUGGGAUAUUCUGAUGGAAAGUCAUUUACCAAAGUUGAUUGAUGAGUCUGAUGUGUCGGACAUGAGCCGAUAGGAUCUUUCCUUUUGUUUCUUUUUAGAUUUUUUUUAAAGAGCAUGUCCUCUUUGUUUUUUCUGUCUGAAAGGGAUAGGAAGCAUUAUAUGUUUUAUGAGAAUGAAUUUGUACAUUGCUUUUCUUGAGUAAGUUAUUCAGUAAUUAGUACCAGAAGCAAGUCGAUCGGUUUCCUUUUUUUUUCCAGAAGUAUCCACUUUUAUUUGGAUAUUGUAAAAGAACAUGAUGCAUGCCUUUUUCUAUGAUCCUCAAACUCGCGCACAAAUUGCACGCGUAUUUCCCAUUUUGGUAAUAUAGUUAAGGGGUGGUCUUGGCACCCUUUAAUAUUGACAUUGCAACCAAUGGUUCCUAAAAACUGCAAGCUGUGUAUGUAUUGUAAAGGGGUGGCCUUGGGCACCCUUUAAUAAUGACCAUUGCAACCAAUGUUUCCCCCGAACUGCAAGUUAUAAAUAUAUCAUUUUUCCUUACUAUGUGGGUAAGGAUGUGCAGUACUAGUGGCUUUCCGGAGCUUAACAGUGAUAGAAACCUCGUGUACUGGCUGCACCAAGCCCCUUGCCGCUUUGUUGCUGUGAUGUUUAUGUAAGUCCAUUUUUUCAGGAAGCUAAAUCACAAGAAUCUUCGUUGGGCUACCCCAACACACAAGCUUCAAAUACUUCACAAUUGAUUUCUCAAGCUUCCUUUGAUGGUAUUUAUGACCUUUUCACAAUUGCAUACAUGUCAGUCUAUGAAGCAACUAGGGCAAAAUGUUUAUGCCAAAAGGGCCUGGCAGGAAGAUUUUGGAGGCAGUAGAGCCUUAGGUUGAGGAAAUGUGGUCCGCCAUGAGGUCUAAUGCCAAAGUGUGUUAGAAGUCGAAUCCUAUUCAAUUCAACAUUCACCCUGUUGAACAUUCUAAUAGAACAUUAGAUACCAAACUUCAGUUGUCCUAGUACACUUGAUUCUCAGCCUUGGUUCAAGUACGCUGAACCAUCAGCUAGAGGAUAGUCUUCUGUGAUAAUUACAUACAGAAGAUGAAGAUCUGAUCUCACCAGAAGUUUCAGUACAAUAGGUUAACUAAUGCCCAAGGAAUCAGAGAGGUGAGUAGAAAUGUCAAUUCUGGAUUAGCUUUGUGGUGGGUUGACGUCCAUAUGGUGUUUGAUUAAUUGUCCCGGAGAAAUGAUCUUAAACUAUGAGUAAUGCUGGUGAGGUCAGAUAUAAUGUUGAGACAUGAAUAGUCUGAUCUGCUUCAGUUAUACUGAACACUGACAUCAACUCUGUUAGUGAGUUGCGCUGGGCAUCCAACAGCAGUGUGCAGAUAUGCUGCAUUGUGGUUUGGAAAGCAUAGACCAUAUUGAAUCAUUGCCAUUGUAUUUUACAUAUCUUACUGUACUGUUUUGGUUCUUUAUUUCCGCACACAGAUGAUGGAGAUGGGGCAGACCUAGUUACAAACUCAAACAUCAUAGACUAUGAUGAUUUUCGAGGCAAGCCAGCUAACAGUGGCACAUCAAAGGAACAAUCAGAUGAUGAUGGCGAUCUUGAGGAGAAUACUGACCCUACCAAUACAAAGAAGAUGAGGAGGUAACAUAGAUUGUUGCGUUGCACAAGUUUCUUGAGGAGAAUAUAUAGAUCAUGCUAAAUAGAAAACAUUUCUUGAUUUUGUUGCAAGUGAGAGAUUGAUUUACCUUGUUAGAAGGCAACAUACUUCCAUUUUCCUGUUCCCUUCAUCUACCAUUCACUGCCUUUGAAGUCAGGAAGGAUCCAAUCACAUCAAGCUCUGUCCAAUUGUCCAUACCCACAAAAAAUUUUAUAAAUUGCUUUACUACUAAAUUUAAUCCUUAUAUUCAUGGACAAGUUAGUAAUUCAGUUCAACGUAAACGGAUCCAGGAAUCCCAUACUUUUUUUGCAAUUAGUUUCCUUUUAGUUUAAAUUGGUUGCCUUUACCUUGAUUCCACAUGAAACCUGUCAUGUAUUGGAAGCUUAAAAUACCACUUCGUUGAUGAACUUACUCAAUUAAGUUUCAAUGUGAUCAGAAUGCUUUCAAAUCGAGAAUCAGCUAGGCGAUCAAGAAAGAGGAAGCAAGAACACCUGACCGAUCUUGAAUCACAGGUUUCAAAUUUGUGACAGAUGAAUACCCAAGUUAAUAUCCAACUGAAGUGAAGAUAAUCAUGCUAAUUACUACAUCAUUUUCUAGGUUUCCAGGUUAACAUCUGAGAAUGCAUCUUUGCUAAAGCGCUUGGCUGAUAUGACUCAGAAAUACAAGGAUGCAACCCUUGACAAUAGAAAUCUUAUAGUUGAUGUUGAGACUAUGAGGAGAAAGGUUGGUUCAUCUUAACUGCAUCACACAUUUUUGUUAUUGUUUUCUGUAAACUUGAAAGGUUGGUUCAUCUUAACUGCAUCACACAUUUUUGUUAUUGUUUGCUGUAAACUUUUAACUGCAUCAAUUUGCAUAUUAUCAUACUAUUGUUCUCCAGAGGGAGCAUUAGUUGCAGCUAUUUGUACUAAGGCUCUGCACAGAGACUAGAUCAAUGUUUACAUUUCUUUGGAUGGCUAAAAGGUGGAGAGAAAGUAAUAUGAAAUUGAACAGUUCUUUGUUUUAGAUAAUCUGUAGCUUCAGCUUUAUUUCACAAUGAGUUUUAACUGUACCACAAAUAGGCACAACCGUAUUUCCAUUUGAUUUUCUGAUUUUCUACAUAUGAGAAUAUAAUAAUUUUGUUUCUUUCUUUUUCCUGUAGCAGUUUUAUUUGAGAUAUUUGUUUUCUUGUAUUAGUUUGAUUUUUAAGAAUAACAGUGUUCUCUUACAGGUGUGAGGAGUUGUAAAAUGAAACAAAAUAUUAAAAGUGCCCAUACCAUGUCGCAGUGCUCCAAGUGUGUGUCCCAUUAGACCUGCGGUGUUUCCCUUGUGGAAGGGCUGUUCUAUCUCGAGAACAUCGAUACCGCACAUGAGGAGUCCAAACAGGAUACUACCAUACAAACAUUUCAUAAUGCUUGUGUGUGAGUAUGUGCAACUCUGUAUUGUUGCAUCAUGAGUAAAGGUGUUUUUGAAUUUCAAAGUGUUCAUGUUUAAGGGCUUUAACAUAUUCAUGUAAACUAACUGCAAAAUUGUCUUAUCCUAUAACUGUCUCAAUCAUGUUUUAUAAAACAAAAAUCUUCACGAAAAUCUAAGUAAUUAACAAAACCGCACAUGAUCAUAUAAUAAAAGAAACAUGUCUUUACAAUUUUAUAUUGCUAUCCCUUUUACAUAUACACUUAUUUUCUAUGGAACUUUAUGUUUGCUAAUAAGCAUUGUACAAAACUCCAUUGCAAUAGAUUUCUAGUUGAGUUACGAGUGAGCCACAACUGCCUUCAUAUUCCCCUACCCAAAGGCUGUAGAAAUAGACAUAAUUGGUUUCCUUCUAAUUUAUUUUGAUAGCAAAGUAUUGUUUUCAGGUGAACAUAGCAGAGGAAGCUGUCAGGAGACUAACUGGAACAACCCUCCUAUUACCCACCACAUCUGACAAGCCCGCGAGUAGCAUGCGCUUGACUUCAUGUGCAUCUGAUGCAGCUUCUGCUUCUGUCGCCAUUGAAGACAGCAUGGAACAUUUUCUCCGGGCGCCAUUUCAAGACAGUCAGACCAAGCUCGACCUCCCAAAUGCAGAAAUUCCUUUGGCCAGUGGAGAGAUAGGCACCAAGCUGGCUCCUAUGCGACGUGUCGCUAGCUUGGAGAACCUGC
Molecule: long non-coding RNA, 4647 nt
Filed under: Setaria viridis
Lineage: Eukaryota; Viridiplantae; Streptophyta; Magnoliopsida; Poales; Poaceae
Description: long non-coding RNA (SVIR_LNC003758)
Source: RNAcentral